Molecule: ribosomal RNA, 253 nt
Filed under: uncultured bacterium
Lineage: Bacteria
Description: partial 16S ribosomal RNA
Rfam family: Bacterial small subunit ribosomal RNA
Source: RNAcentral
GACGUAGGGCGCGAGCGUUGUCCGGAUUUAUUGGGCGUAAAGAGCUCGUAGGCGGCUUGUCGCGUCGACCGGGAAAACUUGGGGCUCAACCCCAAGCCUGCGGUCGAUACGGGCAGGCUCGAGUUCGGUAGGGGAGACUGGAAUUCCUGGUGUAGCGGUGAAAUGCGCAGAUAUCAGGAGGAACACCGAUGGCGAAGGCAGGUCUCUGGGCCGAUACUGACGCUGAGGAGCGAAAGCGUGGGGAGCGAACAGG